RNAcentral lists this ribosomal RNA (253 nucleotides) under uncultured bacterium. RNAcentral's name for it is "partial 16S ribosomal RNA". It matches the Rfam family "Bacterial small subunit ribosomal RNA", at positions 524 to 776 of the family's 1533-position model. The record is from RNAcentral.
UACGUAGGGGGCAAGCGUUGUCCGGAUUUAUUGGGCGUAAAGAGCGUGUAGGCGGCCUGAAAGGUCAGCUGUGAAAACUCGAGGCUCAACCUCGAGACGUCGGUUGAAACCAUCUGGCUAGAGUCCGGAAGAGGAGUGUGGAAUUCCUGGUGUAGUGGUGAAAUGCGUAGAGAUCAGGAGGAACACCGGUGGCGAAGGCGGCCUACUGGGCCAGCACUGACGCUGAGGCGCGAAAGCUCGGGGAGCGAACGGG